AGUGAACGCUGGCGGUAGGCCUAACACAUGCAAGUCGAACGGCAGCACAGUAAGAGCUUGCUCUUACGGGUGGCGAGUGGCGGACGGGUGAGGAAUACAUCGGAAUCUACUUUUUCGUGGGGGAUAACGUAGGGAAACUUACGCUAAUACCGCAUACGACCUACGGGUGAAAGCAGGGGAUCUUCGGACCUUGCGCGACUGAAUGAGCCGAUGUCGGAUUAGCUAGUUGGCGGGGUAAAGGCCCACCAAGGCGACGAUCCGUAGCUGGUCUGAGAGGAUGAUCAGCCACACUGGAACUGAGACACGGUCCAGACUCCUACGGGAGGAAGCAGUGGGGAAUAUUGGACAAUGGGCGCAAGCCUGAUCCAGCAAUACCGCGUGGGUGAAGAAGGCCUUCGGGUUGUAAAGCCCUUUUGUUGGGAAAGAAAAGCAGCAGGUUAAUACCCCGCUGUUCUGACGGUACCCAAAGAAUAAGCACCGGCUAACUUCGUG
This 492-nucleotide ribosomal RNA is filed under the name uncultured bacterium. Its description in RNAcentral is "partial 16S ribosomal RNA". It matches the Rfam family "Bacterial small subunit ribosomal RNA", at positions 29 to 507 of the family's 1533-position model. The record is from RNAcentral.